This 733-nucleotide long non-coding RNA is filed under the name Homo sapiens (human). RNAcentral's name for it is "HSALNT0145609". Lineage: Eukaryota; Metazoa; Chordata; Mammalia; Primates; Hominidae. The record is from RNAcentral.
CACAAAACAGCCUGUAGUUGAUACACAGUGAUGGCAGCUUUAAUCAUAGUUGCCCAUACUGAAAAUGCCCAAAUACCCUGCCAUGGGUGAACGGAUAAACAAAUGGCUCCAUCCAUACAAUGGAAUGCUACUCGGUGCAAAAAAGCACUCUACACAGGCAAUAUGGAUGACUCCAAUGCAUCAUGUUCAGUAAAAGCAGCCACGUGCAAACAGCUGCACACUAUUUCUGGAAAUGGUGAGGUGAUGGAUAGAGGAUAGAAAACAAACCAGUGGUUUCCACGGACUGGGGUUGAGGAGGGGUUAACCACAAGAGAGCACAAAGGAAUUCUGGGUGGUGGUGAAGAUGUUCAAUGUCUGGAAUGUGGUAGUGGCACAAUUGUAUGUUUUUGUCAAAGCCCAAAGAACUAUACACUAAAAAGAGUAAAUUUUAUUGUUUAUAAAUUAUGCUUCAAUAAACCUGCCUUUAAAAAAUUUUUUAUCAGUAAUUACAAUUUUCAAAAGUGGAGAUACUUGGUAGGCCCCUGCUUUCUUGGCCCCUAAGGUCCCUCUCUCUGUUAAACUGUAGAGCUCCUUAGAACCAAAACCAAACCACCUUUCAUUUUAAUGAAAAUGAAAUGCAAAAACUGGGGCUCCAAGCAAGGAAGAAACGUCUACCUGCAGUUCAUCUGGGGGUUGGUGGGAGAGGUGGGACUGAAAGCUUUUCCAUAUUCAUUACAUCCAAAGGAUUUCUCAC